AGAGUUUGAUCCUGGCUCAGGAUGAACGCUAGCUACAGGCUUAACACAUGCAAGUCGAGGGGCAGCAUGGUCUUAGCUUGCUAAGGCCGAUGGCGACCGGCGCACGGGUGAGUAACACGUAUCCAACCUGCCGUCUACUCUUGGACAGCCUUCUGAAAGGAAGAUUAAUACAAGAUGGCAUCAUGAGUCCGCAUGUUCACAUGAUUAAAGGCAUUCCGGUAGACGAUGGGGAUGCGUUCCAUUAGAUAGUAGGCGGGGUAACGGCCCACCUAGUCUUCGAUGGAUAGGGGUUCUGAGAGGAAGGUCCCCCACAUUGGAACUGAGACACGGUCCAAACUCCUACGGGAGGCAGCAGUGAGGAAUAUUGGUCAAUGGGCGAGAGCCUGGACCAGCCAAGUAGCGUGAAGGAUGACUGCCCUAUGGGUUGUAAACUUCUUUUAUAAAGGAAUAAAGUCGGGUAUGCAUACCCGUUUGCAUGUACUUUAUGAAUAAGGAUCGGCUAACUCCGUGCCAGCAGCCGCGGUAAUACGGAGGAUCCGAGCGUUAUCCGGAUUUAUUGGGUUUAAAGGGAGCGUAGAUGGAUGUUUAAGUCAGUUGUGAAAGUUUGCGGCUCAACCGUAAAAUUGCAGUUGAUACUGGAUAUCUUGAGUGCAGUUGAGGCAGGCGGAAUUCGUGGUGUAGCGGUGAAAUGCUUAGAUAUCACGAAGAACUCCGAUUGCGAAGGCAGCCUGCUAAGCUGCAACUGACAUUGAGGCUCGAAAGUGUGGGUAUCAAACAGGAUUAGAUACCCUGGUAGUCCACACGGUAAACGAUGAAUACUCGCUGUUUGCGAUAUACAGCAAGCGGCCAAGCGAAAGCGUUAAGUAUUCCACCUGGGGAGUACGCCGGCAACGGUGAAACUCAAAUGAAUUGACGGGGGCCCGCACAAGCGGAAGAACAUGUGGUUUAAUUCGAUGAUACGCGAGGAACCUUACCCGGGCUUAAAUUGCAGAUGAAUUACGGUGAAAGCCGUAAGCCGCAAGGCAUCUGUGAAGGUGCUGCAUGGUUGUCGUCAGCUCGUGCCGUGAGGUGUCGGCUUAAGUGCCAUAACGAGCGCAACCCUUGUUGUCAGUUACUAACAGGUUCUGCUGAGGACUCUGACAAGACUGCCAUCGUAAGAUGUGAGGAAGGUGGGGAUGACGUCAAAUCAGCACGGCCCUUACGUCCGGGGCUACACACGUGUUACAAUGGGGGGUACAGAGGGCCGCUACCACGCGAGUGGAUGCCAAUCCCCAAAACCUCUCUCAGUUCGGACUGGAGUCUGCAACCCGACUCCACGAAGCUGGAUUCGCUAGUAAUCGCGCAUCAGCCACGGCGCGGUGAAUACGUUCCCGGGCCUUGUACACACCGCCCGUCAAGCCAUGGGAGCCGGGGGUACCUGAAGUGCGUAACCGCGAGGAGCGCCCUAGGGUAAAACUGGUGACUGGGGCUAAGUCGUAACAAGGUA
RNAcentral lists this ribosomal RNA (1486 nucleotides) under metagenome. Its description in RNAcentral is "bacterial SSU rRNA". It matches the Rfam family "Bacterial small subunit ribosomal RNA". The record is from RNAcentral.